AUUCUAAAACACUCCCCCUCAAGCUGGUGCAUAUAAAUCAUAUGUACCGAGCUUGUUACAUAUGUAGUUAACAUCGAACACGGGUUUCUAGACCCGAAAGCAUCGAGUCCCAAAGACAUAGUUGAAAACUUGCUGAAACAGAUGAAGGAAAUACUGUUUUUACCGGAAAAUUACUGUAGAUCCCGGAAUAAAUCACUGUAGAUGCCGGAAAACUCAAAGUGGUCGGAAUUGAAAAGUAAAAAUAUGGGUAGGCUCGGAAUUUGAGGGCGAUCCAACUGCCUUGAAGGACCUUCAUCAAAAUCUCACCGGAACAGUGCUCACGCGCCGGCGCGUGGGACAGACGAGGGCGAUCCAACUACCCUGAAGGACCUUCGUCAAAAUCUCACCAGAACAGUGCUCACGCGCCGGCGCGUGGGGCGCGUGAGUCUGAUCUACCUUGAUAAAUCUGGCGCGUGAGGGCGUGUGAAGGGCAGUUUUCCAGUGGGGUUUGGUCGGAUCUCUCGUGGGAAUCUUGUGGUGGUGUUGGUUUUUGCACAACACUGAUAAUUAGUGACUUUGACGCAAUUAGUCACNN
This 574-nucleotide long non-coding RNA is filed under the name Nicotiana benthamiana. Its description in RNAcentral is "long non-coding RNA (NBEN_LNC006168)". Lineage: Eukaryota; Viridiplantae; Streptophyta; Magnoliopsida; Solanales; Solanaceae. The record is from RNAcentral.